AACGAACGCUGGCGGCAUGCCUAACACAUGCAAGUCGAACGAGACCUUCGGGUCUAGUGGCGCACGGGUGCGUAACGCGUGGGAACCUGCCCUUAGGUUCGGAAUAACUCCCCGAAAGGGGUGCUAAUACCGGAUAAUGUCUUCGGACCAAAGAUUUAUCGCCUUUGGAUGGGCCCGCGUUGGAUUAGCUAGUUGGUAGGGUAAAAGCCUACCAAGGCGACGAUCCAUAGCUGGUCUGAGAGGAUGAUCAGCCACACUGGGACUGAGACACGGCCCAGACUCCUACGGGAGGCAGCAGUGGGGAAUAUUGGACAGUGGGCGAAAGCCUGAUCCAGCAAUGCCGCGUGAGUGAUGAAGGCCUUAGGGUUGUAAAGCUCUUUUACCCGGGAUGAUAAUGACAGUACCGGGAGAAUAAGCUCCGGCUAACUCCGU
RNAcentral lists this ribosomal RNA (432 nucleotides) under uncultured bacterium. Its description in RNAcentral is "partial 16S ribosomal RNA". It matches the Rfam family "Bacterial small subunit ribosomal RNA", at positions 29 to 506 of the family's 1533-position model. The record is from RNAcentral.